CACCGGCAGCUCUAGUGGUAGCCAUUUUUAUUGGGCCUAAAGCGUUCGUAGCCGGUUUGAUAAGUCUCUGGUGAAAUCCUAUAGCUUAACUGUGGGACUUGCUGGAGAUACUAUUAGACUUGAGGUCGGGAGAGGUUAGCGGUACUCCCAGGGUAGGGGUGAAAUCCUGUAAUCCUGGGAGGACCACCUGUGGCGAAGGCGGCUAACUGGAACGAACCUGACGGUGAGGGACGAAAGCCAGGGGCGCGAACCGGAUUAGAUACCCGGGUAGUCCUGGCCGUAAACGAUGUGGACUUGGUGUUGGAAUGGCUUCGAGCUGCUCCAGUGCCGAAGGGAAGCUGUUAAGUCCACCGCCUGGGAAGUACGGUCGCAAGACUGAAACUUAAAGGAAUUGGCGGGGAGCACCACAACGCGUGGAGCCUGCGGUUU
RNAcentral lists this ribosomal RNA (429 nucleotides) under uncultured archaeon. RNAcentral's name for it is "bacterial SSU rRNA". It matches the Rfam family "Archaeal small subunit ribosomal RNA", at positions 474 to 903 of the family's 1478-position model. The record is from RNAcentral.